This is a small nucleolar RNA of Candida albicans SC5314, 69 nucleotides long. The record is from RefSeq and is a predicted model, not a curated record. Lineage: Eukaryota; Fungi; Ascomycota; Pichiomycetes; Serinales; Debaryomycetaceae.
UCACUGACAUACUUUGUGAAUUACAUUUAUUAUAUGAAUUAAUUUAUCUUUUGAUGAUAGAGAAGAUUU